AGUGAACGCUGGCGGCAGGCCUAACACAUGCAAGUCGAACGGCAGCACAGUACGAGCUGGCGCUUACGGGAGGCGAGUGGCGGGGGGGUGAGGAAUACAUCGGACUCUACUUUUUCGGGGGGGAACAAGUGGGGACGGUAACGAAAACACCGUAACCGCCCAAGGGGAGAAAGGGGGGGAUUUUGGCCCCUUGCCAGAUGGAAUGACCCGAUGUCGGAUUAGCUAGUGGGGGGGGAAAGGGCCCACCAAGGCGACGAUCCGUAGCUGGUCUGAGAGGAUGAUCAGCCACACUGGAACUGAGACACGGUCCAGACUCCUACGGGAGGCAGCAGUGGGGAAUAUUGGACAAUGGGCGCAAGCCUGAUCCAGCCAUGCCGCGUGUGUGAAGAAGGCCUUCGGGUUGUAAAGCCCUUUUGUUGGGGAGGAAAAGCAUCAGGUUAAUACCCCGCUUUACUGACGUUACCCGAAGAAUAAGCACCGGCUAACUUCGUG
RNAcentral lists this ribosomal RNA (492 nucleotides) under uncultured bacterium. Its description in RNAcentral is "partial 16S ribosomal RNA". It matches the Rfam family "Bacterial small subunit ribosomal RNA", at positions 29 to 507 of the family's 1533-position model. The record is from RNAcentral.